GCCAGGUGUGGUGGCACGCACCUGUAGUCCCAGCUACUCAGGAGGCUGAGGCAGGAGGACUGCUUGAGCCCAGGACUUCAAGGAUACAGUGAGCUAUGAUCAUGACACUGCAUUCUAGCCUGGACAACAGAGUAACACUCUGUCUCUA
This is an unclassified non-coding RNA of Pongo abelii (Sumatran orangutan), 148 nucleotides long. It matches the Rfam family "Metazoan signal recognition particle RNA". From Rfam's summary of the family: The signal recognition particle (SRP) is a universally conserved ribonucleoprotein. It is involved in the co-translational targeting of proteins to membranes. NCBI's taxonomy places the organism in Eukaryota, Metazoa, Chordata, Mammalia, Primates, Hominidae. The record is from Ensembl.